Molecule: ribosomal RNA, 713 nt
Filed under: uncultured bacterium
Lineage: Bacteria
Description: bacterial SSU rRNA
Rfam family: Bacterial small subunit ribosomal RNA
Source: RNAcentral
GGCGAAAGGGUGAGGAACACGUGGGCAAUCUACCUCUUAGUUGGGGACAACCUCGGGAAACUGGGGCUAAUACCGGAUAUGGUUAUUUAUCGCAUGGUGGAUUAAUUAAAGGUGGGGAAUCUUCGGAUCCUGCCGCUAAGAGAGGAGCCCGCGUCCCAUCAGCUUGUUGGUAAGGUAAUGGCUUACCAAGGCUUACGGGUAGCUGGUCUGAGAGGAUGGUCAGCCACACUGGGACUGAGACACUGCCCAGACUCCUACGGGAGGCUGCAGUCGAGAAUCAUUCGCAAUGCGCGAAAGCGUGACGAUGCGACGCUGCGUGGAGGAUGACGGCCUUAGGGUUGUAAACUCCUGUCAUUCAGGAAAAAUUCUCUGUGUAUUAAUACUACAUAGAAUUGAUGGUACUGAAAGAGGAAGCCACGGCUAACUCUGUGCCAGCAGCCGCGGUAAUACAGAGGUGGCGAGCGUUGUUCGGAUUUACUGGGCGUAAAGGGUGCGUAGGUGGUUUUGUUAGUCGGAUGUGAAAGCCCACGGCUUAACCGUGGAAUUGCAUUCGAAACUGCAGGACUUGAGUGUAGGAGGGGAGAGCGGAAUUCUUGGUGUAGCGGUGAAAUGCGUUGAUAUCAAGAAGAACACCGGUGGCGAAGGCGGCUCUCUGGAAUACUACUGACACUGAGGCACGAAAGUUGGGGGAGCGAACAGGAUUAGAUACCCUG